Molecule: long non-coding RNA, 412 nt
Organism: Passer domesticus (house sparrow)
Lineage: Eukaryota; Metazoa; Chordata; Aves; Passeriformes; Passeridae
Exons: 3
Source: RefSeq, a predicted model, not a curated record
CACAGCAGAAGUGCCCACGGUACCCUAAAGGUGGGAUAUAACCUGUACUGCCCUGGAGCUUGGACCAGGGCUGCCUUUCUACUGACUGGAAUCAGGGAACACAGGUGCUGCUGCAGAGUUUCCAUGGAAGGUGGGAGUAAGUGAAACUAUCUGCUGGCUGGGAAAACAGAAGCUUUGUUGACAAAGACAGUUUCAGUUAAUGAAAGACUAAACUGGAUGCAUUAAGAAUGAAAGGAAUAUAAACCAUAUGCUGUUAUGUUUGGUGCACUCAAAACAGUUCUUCUUUCUACUGGAUUCCCUGGGACUAUUUUCAGACUGAAGAAGGCUGCAAACCACUCUUUGGAAGGAGAAUUUAUAUUGGUUUCAACUGUUGCCUAUUAACAAGAAGCAGAAGAUGUUCAAAGAACUUCAU